AUUGAACGCUGGCGGCAGGCCUAACACAUGCAAGUCGAGCGGAGCGGCGGACGGGUGAGUAAUGCCUAGGAAUCUGCCCGGCCGUGGGGGAUAACGUCCGGACACGGGCGCUAAUACCGCAUACUAUCAGAUGAGCCUAGGUCGUAUUACCUAGUUGGUUGGGUAAAGGCCUACCAAGGCGACGAUCCGUAACUGGUCUGAGAGGAUGAUCAGUCACACUGGAACGGAGACACGGUCCAGACUCCUACGGGAGGCAGCAGUGGGGAAUAUUUGACAAUGGGCGAAAGCCUGAUGGAGCCAUGCCGCGUGUGUGAAGAAGGUCUUCGGAUUGUAAAGCACUUUAAGUUGGGAGGCGGUACCAACAGAAUAAGCAACGGCUAACUACGUGCCAGCAGCCGCGGUAAUAC
RNAcentral lists this ribosomal RNA (407 nucleotides) under uncultured bacterium. Its description in RNAcentral is "partial 16S ribosomal RNA". It matches the Rfam family "Bacterial small subunit ribosomal RNA", at positions 30 to 526 of the family's 1533-position model. The record is from RNAcentral.